AUUGAACGCUGGCGGCAGGCCUAACACAUGCAAGUCGAGCGGAUGAAGGGAGCUUGCUCCUGGAUUCAGCGGCGGACGGGUGAGUAAUGCCUAGGAAUCUGCCUGGUAGUGGGGGAUAACGUCCGGAAACGGGCGCUAAUACCGCAUACGUCCUGAGGGAGAAAGUGGGGGAUCUUCGGACCUCACGCUAUCAGAUGAGCCUAGGUCGGAUUAGCUAGUUGGUGGGGUAAAGGCCUACCAAGGCGACGAUCCGUAACUGGUCCGAGAGGAUGAUCAGUCACACUGGAACUGAGACACGGUCCAGACUCCUACGGGAGGCAGCAGUGGGGAAUAUUGGACAAUGGGCGAAAGCCUGAUCCAGCCAUGCCGCGUGUGUGAAGAAGGUCUUCGGAUUGUAAAGCACUUUAAGUUGGGAGGAAGGACAGUAAGUUAAUACCUUGCUGUUUUGACGUUACCAACAGAAUAAGCACCGGCUAACUUCGUG
This 484-nucleotide ribosomal RNA is filed under the name uncultured bacterium. RNAcentral describes it as "partial 16S ribosomal RNA". It matches the Rfam family "Bacterial small subunit ribosomal RNA", at positions 30 to 507 of the family's 1533-position model. The record is from RNAcentral.